This 164-nucleotide ribosomal RNA is filed under the name uncultured bacterium. Its description in RNAcentral is "partial 16S ribosomal RNA". It matches the Rfam family "Bacterial small subunit ribosomal RNA", at positions 355 to 511 of the family's 1533-position model. The record is from RNAcentral.
UAGAGAAUCUUCCACAAUGGACGAAAGUCUGAUGGAGCAACGCCGCGUGAGUGAAGAAGGGUUUCGGCUCGUAAAACUCUGUUGUUAAAGAAGAACAUAUCUGAGAGUAACUGUUCAGGUAUUGACGGUAUUUAACCAGAAAGCCACGGCUAACUACGUGCCAG